Molecule: long non-coding RNA, 878 nt
Organism: Solanum verrucosum
Lineage: Eukaryota; Viridiplantae; Streptophyta; Magnoliopsida; Solanales; Solanaceae
Exons: 3
Source: RefSeq, a predicted model, not a curated record
GUUUGGAUAAUCAACCUGAGUUGAAACGGAUCCAACAAAUUCGGACCCAAAGUUUUGGCCCGAUAACUAGGCCGAAUUUGUUCUUUCUCCUCGCGAUUUUCUGGCUUCCAUUGAAAUCGAGCUCUGGUACCAGGCUAGGGUCCCAUAAUGGGUGUGGAACAGCAAAAAGACCAACUGAAAGAGAUGGACUGGAAAACUCUGGGUGGAACAGAGAGUAGUGAGGCUAAUGUUGUACCAGCAGUGAAGAAACGGCUUCCAAAAAGGAUUCGACAAGUGCCUGAGUAUUAUUUUCUUCCACGAAAAUCCUUACCAUACUCCAUCGCCUUUUAUGGGUCAUUUAUUGCUGCAGGUGUUGGUGCAGGAAUGCUACUUGAAGGAUGGAUCAACAAGAAGAUAAAAGAUGAUGAAGGAGUCAUUUGGGAGUUCGACAAAUGAACAAUGAAUUCUUUUCAUGUUUCGAUUGCGACUGCUUUUGGUCCAAGGAGUUCACUGGAGAUGAAUAUCGUAACCAUUACUAGAUGAUGAUAAAUCACUCUUUGGCAUCCAGUUCAAUUUUGUAGGUUGUAUAUUUCAGGAGCAGAGUGCAGAACAGAGAUGUUGAAUUUGGCAGACAGUACUAAAACAUUAGGUCGUAUAUUUGCCUUAAUGGCUUAACCUUUGAAUAAAUAGAGAGGCCCGGCAAGUGGGCCUUCCUAAGAAUUUUGUAUCCUGAUCACUGAAUAGUUUCGAAAACAACAUCUCUACCUCAACCAGGUAGGGGUAAGGUAUUUAUACACUCUACCAUUUCUGGACCCCACAUGUGGGACCAGAAUCGGUAUGUUGUUGAACACUGAAUGAACAGUUAUAGUAGUAUUGGAUGUGGAGCAAUUGAACAUUAA